Molecule: ribosomal RNA, 253 nt
Filed under: uncultured bacterium
Lineage: Bacteria
Description: partial 16S ribosomal RNA
Rfam family: Bacterial small subunit ribosomal RNA
Source: RNAcentral
UACGGGGGGGGCAAGCGUUGUUCGGAAUUACUGGGCGUAAAGGGCGCGUAGGCGGCGACCCAAGUCAGAUGUGAAAGUCCUGGGCUUAACCUGGGGACUGCAUUUGAUACUGGGUUGCUUGAAUUCGGGAGAGGAUAGCGGAAUUCCCAGUGUAGAGGUGAAAUUCGUAGAUAUUCGGAAGAACACCAGUGGCGAAGGCGACUGACUGGACAGAUAUUGACGCUGAGGUGCGAAAGCGUGGGGAGCAAACAGG